UACAGAGACUGCAAGCGUUAUUCGGAUUCACUGGGCGUAAAGGGUGCGCAGGCGGCCAAGUGUGUGAGGCGUGAAAGCCCGGGGCUUAACUCCGGAAUUGCACCUCAAACUACAUGGCUAGAGCAUUGGAGAGGGUAGCAGAAUUUACGGUGUAGCAGUGAAAUGCGUAGAUAUCGUGAGGAAUACCAGAGGCGAAGGCGGCUACCUGGACAAUUGCUGACGCUCAGGCACGAAAGCGUGGGGAGCAAAAGGG
This 253-nucleotide ribosomal RNA is filed under the name uncultured bacterium. Its description in RNAcentral is "partial 16S ribosomal RNA". It matches the Rfam family "Bacterial small subunit ribosomal RNA", at positions 524 to 776 of the family's 1533-position model. The record is from RNAcentral.